AGUAAUGUCUGGGAAACGGCCUGAUGGAGGGGGGUAACUACUGGAAACGGUAGCUAAUACCGCAUAACGUCGCAAGACCAAAGUGGGGGACCGUUCGGGGCCUCAUGCCAUCAGAUGUGCCCAGAUGGGAUUAGCUAGUAGGUGGGGUAACGGCUCACCUAGGCGACGAUCCCUAGCUGGUCUGAGAGGAUGACCAGCCACACUGGAACUGAGACACGGUCCAG
RNAcentral lists this ribosomal RNA (224 nucleotides) under uncultured bacterium. Its description in RNAcentral is "partial 16S ribosomal RNA". It matches the Rfam family "Bacterial small subunit ribosomal RNA", at positions 109 to 334 of the family's 1533-position model. The record is from RNAcentral.